RNAcentral lists this long non-coding RNA (806 nucleotides) under Felis catus (domestic cat). RNAcentral's name for it is "lncRNA (ENSFCAG00000045698.2)". Lineage: Eukaryota; Metazoa; Chordata; Mammalia; Carnivora; Felidae. The record is from RNAcentral.
CCUCAGGAGAGUUUUGGCUGUAGAAUGUAGUUGCAUAGUUUGUAAAUCUAUUUAAUAUUAAGUUUUCAUAAAUUCUUUUAUGAACAGAUUCAAAAAAAAUCCUUCAAUAAACAAAAUAUGCCAUUAUUUCUUCUUUUUUAAAUAAAUAAGAGGAAAUAGAAAAAAAAUACCACAGAACCAGUUCUUUAAAAUUAUUUUAAUACUUAUUUAUUCUUUUUUUAAAAAUUUAAUGUUUAUUUAUUUUUGAAAGAGAGAAAGACAGAGUGCCAGCCAUGGAGGGGGAGAGAGGGAGACACAGAAUCUGAGUAGAGUCUAGGCUCUGAGCUGUCAGCACAGAGCCGUACGCGGGGCUCAAACCCACAAACCCCAAGAUCAUGACCUGAGCUGAAGUCGGACGCUUAACAGACUGAGCCACACAGGUGCCCCGGAGCCAGUUCUUUUAGAUGUCACUUGAUUAUUUAAAACUGGCACCCCAAAUCAGGUGGUUUUGGCCUAAGGAAAUGAGCCAGAAGCCACAUGCAUCUUUUCAUCGGAUCACCAGCAGGUUGCUUCUGAAGACACCUCCGGGCAGGUUGGACACUGCGCGGACCCUCACAGCCUGGGGCAACUGGCUGGUGCUCCUGCCGCGAAGUGAGCCAACACAAACCCAGAAUUACAAACUUCAUCACACGCAAGUGGUCCAGGCAGCAGCUGUUAAAAAUGGCACAGCUAUGAACAAGUGUAAUAGGAAGGACUGAUUGGAUCAUGGUGUGAUAUCAGAGGUCCCGGGACAUGCUACCUUCCAGAAAUGACAGAGACAUUACAAG